UACGAAGGGUGCAAGCGUUACUCGGAAUUACUGGGCGUAAAGCGUGCGUAGGUGGUGAGUUAAGUCUGUCGUGAAAGCCCCGGGCUCAACCUGGGAAUGGCGAUGGAUACUGGCUCGCUAGAGUGCGGUAGAGGAGAGUGGAAUUCCCGGUGUAGCAGUGAAAUGCGUAGAGAUCGGGAGGAACAUCAGUUGCGAAGGCGGCUCUCUGGACCAGCACUGACACUGAGGCACGAAAGCUAGGGGAGCAAACGGG
Molecule: ribosomal RNA, 253 nt
Filed under: uncultured bacterium
Lineage: Bacteria
Description: partial 16S ribosomal RNA
Rfam family: Bacterial small subunit ribosomal RNA
Source: RNAcentral